RNAcentral lists this microRNA precursor (111 nucleotides) under Heliconius melpomene (postman butterfly). RNAcentral's name for it is "microRNA hme-mir-14 precursor". Its record names the gene hme-mir-14. The stretch from base 33 to 93 matches the Rfam family "mir-14 microRNA precursor family". Lineage: Eukaryota; Metazoa; Arthropoda; Insecta; Lepidoptera; Nymphalidae. The record is from miRBase by way of RNAcentral.
GAAAUCUGAAGAAAGAAGAAUUAUGUCAGUCGUAUCGGCGGGAGAAAUUGACUCGACUUUGUAACGUCAGUCAGUCUUUUUCUCUCUCCUAUAUGGUCGAUAUAAAAUAUC